RNAcentral lists this ribosomal RNA (467 nucleotides) under uncultured bacterium. RNAcentral's name for it is "SSU rRNA". It matches the Rfam family "Bacterial small subunit ribosomal RNA", at positions 26 to 518 of the family's 1533-position model. The record is from RNAcentral.
AGGACAAACGCUGGCGGCGUACUUAAGACAUGCAAGUCGAACGGGCGCUUCACCUUCGGGCGGGUGUGCUAGUGGCGGACGGGUGAGUAACGCGUAGGAACCUGUCAUCAAGAGGGGGAUAACGCUGGGAAACCGGCGCUAAUACCGCAUGUGGUCAUGAAAAUGAAGAAAGCAGCAAUGCGCUUGAUGAGGGGCCUGCGUCCGAUUAGCUUGUUGGUGGGGUAAAGGCCUACCAAGGCAUCGAUCGGUAGCUGGUCUGAGAGGAUGGUCAGCCACACUGGGACUGAGACACGGCCCAGACUCCUACGGGAGGCAGCAGUUAGGAAAUUUUCCCAAUGGGCGCAAGCCUGAGGGAGUAACGCCGCGUGGAGGAUGACGGCUUUCGGGUUGUAAACUCCUUUUCUGUGGGAAGAGUAGAAGACGGUACCGCAGGAAUAAGCCUCGGCUAACUACGCGCCAGCAGCCGC